This 305-nucleotide ribosomal RNA is filed under the name uncultured bacterium. Its description in RNAcentral is "bacterial SSU rRNA". It matches the Rfam family "Bacterial small subunit ribosomal RNA", at positions 337 to 659 of the family's 1533-position model. The record is from RNAcentral.
CCCUACGGGGGGCAGCAGUGGGGAAUAUUGCACAAUGGGGGAAACCCUGAUGCAGCAACGCCGCGUGAGUGAAGAAGUAUUUCGGUAUGUAAAGCUCUAUCAGCAGGGAAGAAGAUGACGGUACCUGAAUAAGAAGCCCCGGCUAACUACGUGCCAGCAGCCGCGGUAAUACGUAGGGGGCAAGCGUUAUCCGGAUUUACUGGGUGUAAAGGGAGCGUAGGCGGUGCAGCAAGUCAGAAGUGAAAGCCCGGGGCUCAACUCCGGGACUGCUUUUGAAACUGUUGAACUAGAUUGCAGGAGAGGUA